This 44-nucleotide non-coding RNA is filed under the name Schistosoma margrebowiei. Lineage: Eukaryota; Metazoa; Platyhelminthes; Trematoda; Strigeidida; Schistosomatidae. The record is from RNAcentral.
AUCAGCUGACGAGUCUUAACUAAGACGAAACACAUGUCCUAGAU